GACUGGCCAAGGGAAGAGCACGAAAGAAAGUGGUCUGCGAGGGCGCGGGAUCAAAAAGCAAGCAUAUUUGACAAGACUUGGAGGAGUUGAUGACAUCGACAUGGUGAAAAAAAACAAUGUCUGCAACUCUCUCAAAUGGAGUCAUGUCUCAAAUGAAUUUAAAGGGAAAAUGUGGGAAGCUCCCAUUUUCUCAGACCCAGCUUUUCCAGAUCAUAUGUG
Long non-coding RNA from Xyrauchen texanus (razorback sucker), 219 nucleotides. RefSeq lists it as uncharacterized. Lineage: Eukaryota; Metazoa; Chordata; Actinopteri; Cypriniformes; Catostomidae. The transcript is spliced from 3 exons. The record is from RefSeq and is a predicted model, not a curated record.